Molecule: ribosomal RNA, 492 nt
Filed under: uncultured bacterium
Lineage: Bacteria
Description: partial 16S ribosomal RNA
Rfam family: Bacterial small subunit ribosomal RNA
Source: RNAcentral
AGUGAACGCUGGCUGUAGGCCUAACACAUGCAAGUCGAACGGCAGCACAGUAAGAGCUUGCUCUUACGGGUGGCGAGUGGCGGACGGGUGAGGAAUACAUCGGAAUCUACUUUUUCGUGGGGGAUAACGUAGGGAAACUUACGCUAAUACCGCAUACGACCUACGGGUGAAAGCAGGGGAUCUUCGGACCUUGCGCGAUUGAAUGAGCCGAUGUCGAAUUAGCUAGUUGGCGGGGUAAAGGCCCACCAAGGCGACGAUCCGUAGCUGGUCUGAGAGGAUGAUCAGCCACACUGGAACUGAGACACGGUCCAGACUCCUACGGGAGGCAGCAGUGGGGAAUAUUGGACAAUGGGCGCAAGCCUGAUCCAGCCAUACCGCGUGGGUGAAGAAGGCCUUCGGGUUGUAAAGCCCUUUUGUUGGGAAAGAAAAGCAGCAGGUUAAUACCCCGCUGUUCUGACGGUACCCAAAGAAUAAGCACCGGCUAACUUCGUG